Molecule: ribosomal RNA, 253 nt
Filed under: uncultured bacterium
Lineage: Bacteria
Description: partial 16S ribosomal RNA
Rfam family: Bacterial small subunit ribosomal RNA
Source: RNAcentral
UACGAAGGGGGCUAGCGUUGUUCGGAAUUACUGGGCGUAAAGGGCGCGUAGGCGGCCAAGUAAGUCAGAUGUGAAAGCCCCGGGCUUAACCUGGGAACUGCAUUUGAUACUGCUCGGCUGGAGGAUGAGAGAGGAAAGUGGAAUUGCGAGUGUAGAGGUGAAAUUCGUAGAUAUUCGCAAGAACACCAGUGGCGAAGGCGACUUUCUGGCUCAUUUCUGACGCUAAAGCGCGAAAGCGUGGGGAGCAAACAGG